RNAcentral lists this long non-coding RNA (4767 nucleotides) under Cucumis sativus (cucumber). Its description in RNAcentral is "long non-coding RNA (CSAT_LNC000922)". Lineage: Eukaryota; Viridiplantae; Streptophyta; Magnoliopsida; Cucurbitales; Cucurbitaceae. The record is from RNAcentral.
AGAGUCGGUAAGUAGUUGAGUGAUGGCCUCAAAGCGUACAAUUUUACAAUUUUCUUGUUACACAUUGAUAGUUCUGAAAAGGUACCCACGAUAUAUCCUCCUAAAAAGCCUAAAAUUACCAUUUCAGUUUCUACCAACUAAUCGUCUGUCCGUCCAAUAUGUUUGCAUAAUGACCCAUGCAAGGCUUAGAGGUUAGAAAUUAUACCCAACACUCAACAACAUAUCCUCAUAGGUCCAUACAAUCUGGAUCUGUUAAUCCUGUUGGCUGUUCAAGUAAGGUUGUAUAUCCUUAGAGAUCCUAACCCACACGUGAAGUUUCCAAUACUUCCAAAUAUAAUGACAAAGAAAAGUGGCCAUUCAAACAUUUCCUAUAAGAAUGAUCCCAUCAGAAGUACCAACAAGCAGAAGAGAGUUGUGAUUUCCACGACAAUUAGAGAGUUAGGAUUAAAAAGCAAACGGCAAUACAGAGUAAAUCACACGAUGAACAAUAGAGAUAGAAACAGAGUUGAGCAAAAAUACCUGUAAGCAUGAGGAUAGAGUCUUUUGGAAAAUGAAAUUUAUUGACCAAAAGAUAACGCAUCGACUUAGCAUCGUUAAGGCAGCCCCUGAGUUGAUGUAUCGAGUACCUAUAAGAAACCCCACAGAUCACAGCCCUUUUACGGCCAUGCGGGUGAGCUGGAGCUCCUGGUGGCGCAAGGUGUAGUAGGGCGAUGGAACCGGAGGCAGGGCCGCUUGAGAAUGCGACGGCAGAGGGACGGCACGUGGGUUCCUAACCUGUGUCACAGCCUUACAUAUAGCACACCGAAUCGUCGGAGCUCCCGGCUGGAGCUGGAGAGGAGUCCGGCAGCCGGAGCAGUUCACUAACAUCGGCAUUGGAUGCGAAUAGUACUCGUCGAAUUCCAAUACCGAUUAACCACCAAAUUAAAAAUUUAGGGAGCAGAAUUGUACCAAUAAUUUCAAAACCGGAUCUUCAAACAAAGAUCGAUUGAAGGAAGAAGAAACCUCAGGUAAUUGGAUGUGUAACAAAAAUUCGUCGAAUGAUUAAAACCUUAUUCGUCAAAUAGCCUUUAAUGCAGCUUCCAUAACAAUUUCAAAUUGAAAAUUUCUUCUGAUUUCAGCUUCUAUUUCUUAGUCACGAAGCUUUUUCUCCAGUAGUAAUAUAAGAAUUUGUGGCUGAUUCCAGAGGGAAAAACAAAUUGGGUGGGAAAAAUCUAGAGAGAGGUUUCAAGAUUCAAAGAAAAACUCAAAAUUCAUAUAAACAAGUGAUGAAGUGGGAAAUCGUUUUCUCGGAAUUUUGCAUUUUGAAUGGGAAACACGAAUCAAUGCUAAGCUUUUGUUUUUAUUUUUAAACUUAAAGGAUUGGGAUCGAAUUUUAUGGGGAAAAAAAGAUUUUGAAAAUAUUUAAAUAGAAAAUGUGGUUUCGUUGGAUUGGAUUGUUUGACAACAUUUCAAAAAGAAUCGUUUUAAAUUAUUUAUUCAUACCUUAUCUGGAAUUAUAUACUACAAAUUGAACAAUAACUAAUGGAAUAGAAUCUUUGAACAUGUAGUAGUAGUACUAUAAUAUCAUCAAUCCAUAUACACUACAUUCUGCAUUUUCAAAUUGCCUUAAUUUCCCCCCUUACAAUAUAUCAUUUGAACUAAGUAAUUUCAAUCAAAUAUAGAAAUAGGCCAAUAAAGGCAUAACCUUACUCUAUGUCUUCAACCAUCACCUCUCUUCUAUAGAUCGAUCAAGAAAAAGGAAAUCACAGUGAGAAGGGUUUUGUAUAAACAUCGAAUGGCUGACACGCUGUUAAUUGUGGCUCCUGCAAGAACACCAAAAGAUUAGAAUGCUUUGACAGGAAUUAAAUUUUGAACUAAAAUUCUUAGCAUCAAUAUAUUAGUAUGGUGUUUGGUAGAUUGCAUGCAUUUAUACAGCCUCAACUAAAAUGGAACUCUUGAAUAACCAAAUGAUCUACCACAGAAAGUUAAGCACCUGUCUCAGCCCACCGAGCGCGCUCCCUCCGCUCAAAAGCAUGGUGACUAAAGAUGUCAUAGCACCACCACCAAUGUCACCACUACCACCGGCAUUUCUUAUAGCAUUUCGCAUCGAGUUCAGUAUGCUUCCGUAUGUAGUUCCAUGUCCCCGCUCAAUUGCUUGGAUAAAGCAGAAAGUCAUGGCACCUGUUGAUGUUAUCUUUGAUAGAGCCUGUUUGCGUUCAAGUAAUUAGCUCAUCAGCAUCAUCGUAUUUCUUUUCUAAAAUGAACUCUAAAGAGAUGAAAUGGAUUGUGGAUUAUGGAACUUACAGAUGUAUCAGCAGAGGUUUCGUUAUCAUCACAGCCACUGAAAGAAAUAGCUUCUCCACCACUAGUUCCUUUCCAUACUCCAGAUCGAGGGCGGUGGUCCUCCCACAUGUAUUGUCCACUCCUACAACCAAGGGGAAAAUCGAAAAACUAACAGUUGAAUCAAAGAGGCAUCAACAGUUAAAAGUGAAACAAUUAAAAUACCAUUUUGGUCUAGGUACAGUGGAAUUUGUUCAAUUUUAGUCCUCGUACUGUCACUAAAUUUAGUCCUUCAAAGUUCACUUUUAUUGAAAAUGGUUCAAUAAUGAUAGUCAUUUUCAUGCAUGAAAGUAUAGUGUGUGACAUGUUUCCAAAAUUAGUAAAAUGCUACUUAAAUAAAAAAUGGUUUAGAGAAAAUCGAUGAUAAACUAGUAGUAGGGACUAAAUUUAAGAAUCAUUAAAAGUACAAGAACUAAAUUUGCAAAUUUAAGAAUACAGGAAGUAAAAUUGAGAAAAAAAAACCUCAAAGCAGAAGGACCAAAAUGACAUUUUAACCUUUUCUUUUAUAUCACCACUAAAUCUUUUGUAAAGUUACUUAUAACCAUCAACUUUGGUGCAAGCAACAUCGAUGUCACAUGUUAUGUCUUGCUGAACAUAAGAAUAUUUAUAAGAUACCAACCUGCCCAUUCUGCAUAGAAAUGGCAAAUCUAAUACGGUGCCACUAUGGCACGCAUCUAUGAAUGCAUGAAGCUUUACACCUUGAGGAAGAGGCCUAACAAUUGCCGCAUUAAUUUCAUCAUCAACGAUCAUUCCCUGAGUUUCAAAGUCCAGAGGGCAAAGGGUUUCAUCAUAUCCAUCUACUUCAUCACCAUUAUAGUUCCUUUGGUGAGAACCGUGGCCAGAAUAAUGGAAUACCAAGGAGUCACCUGGUUGACAACCUUGUACUAGCCAAAACAACGCCAUUCUAAUGUUGUUCUUGUAGGGAAUUCUGUAUGGAUCAGUUUCUUCUUCUGCAUUUCAUUUUCCAAAAUGACAAUAAGUAAAAACAAGUGGUGAGACAAGAAGAUACAGAAAUAAAUCAACAAUAAAUUUGGAAGUAAUUGAUAAUUGAGAGGCUGAGAUGAUGACUUAUAGAGCCACAUUAUCCCGAGCACAAAAGUUUAGGAAGUUUGCAAGAAAACAAGAGAUGUGCAGACAUGGGUUCAGAGUUCGAGUUCAUUAAAAGAGAUCCCUCCCAUAAGAAUUGGAAAUCAGCCUAAAUGAACUCAAAGACACAAUUAUACAACCUACAGAAGUAGAACAGAACUUGUUCAAGUAAGGUUGUAGCCUAAAUAUUAUUUGAAAUCGAGCAAUCAAGGUCUCCUAUUUGGAGCUAAGUUGUUAUCUUUUGAUACCUGUUCAAAUGGUGUGAAACAUAUAUUUAUACAGUUUCUUGGUGAGUAUAAACUAUCAAUCUAACUACCCUAAUUCCUUUUGUAAUUACAGCUCUUCUCAUUGCAAGUCAACAGAAGGCCUUCAUUUGUGGCCCUUUCUUUGGAUUUUUCUAAUAUACUCAUCAUUUCCUAUCCUUCAAAAAAAAAAAUAUAUAUAUAUAUAUAUAGAUAGAUAUAUAUAAAAGCAUGUUAUGACCUUUGAUAUUUUUCCAAAGUACUCUGGUCAUGAGUGGAUCUACGAUGAGCUCUAAAAGGUUCUUUAGCUCAAGGUGCUAAAUUGGCCAAGUCAAGAGGGAGGAGGAUCUUGUUCCUCUUGAUAAAAAGAAUUUGACACUCAUUUAGAGAAAAGAAAUUGAAGAAUACAUGGGCAUUAAUUUUUUCUAAAAGGGCCAAACUAAAAGAAGGGAAUUCAGUCAAGAGAAAAAGACCAAGGGAAUAUUUAGCGAAGAAAUAGAGGUCCAUAGAAAAAUAGAGAAUCUACCAGACGUGGACAUAAAAUCUUACACCCUUUGAAGAUUUUGUUGUUCCCCUUCCCCAAAGCUGCCACAAAACAGAACACACCCCAGCCUCCCCUAGAGUCGGUAAGUAGUUGAGAGUGAUGGCCUCAAAGCGUACAAUUUUACAAUUUUCUUGUUACAUAUCAAUAGUUCUGAAACUGUACCCACGAUCUACCAACUAAUCCUAAAAAGCAUAAAAUUAUCAUUUCAUUUUCUACCAACUAAUCGUCUGUGCGUCUAAUAUGUUUGCACAAUGACCCAUGAAAGGCUUAGAGGUUAGAAAUUAUAUCCAACACGCAACAACAUAUCCUCAUAAGUCCAUACAAUCUGGACUUGUUAAUCCUGUUGGCUGUUCAAGUAAGGUUAUAACUUGUACAUCCUUAGAGAUCACAAACGAAGGCUCUGAUACUUUAAAUAUAAUGACAAAGAAAAGUGGCCAUUUCAAAUAUUUCCUAUAAGAAUGAACCCAUCGGAAGUACCAACAAGCAGAAGAGAGUUGUGAUUUCCACGACGAUUAGAGAGUUAGAAUCAAAAAGCAAAAAGCAAUACAGAGUAAAUCUCACGAUGAACAACAGAGG